UACAAGGGUUUGUUUGUGUUUGA
This 23-nucleotide microRNA is filed under the name Danio rerio (zebrafish). Its description in RNAcentral is "Dre-Novel-6_3p (mature (guide))". The record is from RNAcentral. Lineage: Eukaryota; Metazoa; Chordata; Actinopteri; Cypriniformes; Danionidae.